RNAcentral lists this ribosomal RNA (275 nucleotides) under Thalassiosira minuscula. RNAcentral describes it as "partial Eukaryotic large subunit ribosomal RNA". It matches the Rfam family "Eukaryotic large subunit ribosomal RNA", at positions 896 to 1169 of the family's 3401-position model. The record is from RNAcentral. Lineage: Eukaryota; Bacillariophyta; Thalassiosirophyceae; Thalassiosirales; Thalassiosiraceae.
AAUCGUUCGUCUGACUUGGGUAUAGUGGCGAAAGACUAAUCGAACCAUCUAGUAGCUGGUUUCCUCCGAAGUUUCCCUCAGGAUAGCUGGAGCUCACGCGCGAGUUUUAUCGGGUAAAGCAAAUGAUUAGAGGCAUCGGGGGCGUAACGCCCUCGACCUAUUCUCAAACUUUAAAUAGGUAAGAGGGUGCGGCUGCUCCAUUGAGCCGCGCCGUGGAAUCGAGAGCUCCAAGUGGGCCAUUUUUGGUAAGCAGAACUGGCGAUGCGGGAUGAACC